GAUUGUAUAGCGCAAUGGAUUAGCACGUCUGACUUCGGAUUAGAAAGUUGUGAGUUUGACUUCCACCGUGAUCA
RNAcentral lists this transfer RNA (74 nucleotides) under Ipomoea nil (Japanese morning glory). It matches the Rfam family "tRNA". From Rfam's summary of the family: Transfer RNA (tRNA) molecules are approximately 80 nucleotides in length. Their secondary structure includes four short double-helical elements and three loops (D, anti-codon, and T loops). Further hydrogen bonds mediate the characteristic L-shaped molecular structure. tRNAs have two regions of fundamental functional importance: the anti-codon, which is responsible for specific mRNA codon recognition, and the 3' end, to which the tRNAs corresponding amino acid is attached (by aminoacyl-tRNA synthetases). tRNAs cope with the degeneracy of the genetic code in two manners: having more than one tRNA (with a specific anti-codon) for a particular amino acid; and 'wobble' base-pairing, i.e. permitting non-standard base-pairing at the 3rd anti-codon position. The record is from Rfam by way of RNAcentral. Lineage: Eukaryota; Viridiplantae; Streptophyta; Magnoliopsida; Solanales; Convolvulaceae.